RNAcentral lists this transfer RNA (84 nucleotides) under Planctomycetaceae bacterium. RNAcentral describes it as "tRNA-Leu". It matches the Rfam family "tRNA". From Rfam's summary of the family: Transfer RNA (tRNA) molecules are approximately 80 nucleotides in length. Their secondary structure includes four short double-helical elements and three loops (D, anti-codon, and T loops). The record is from RNAcentral. Lineage: Bacteria; Pseudomonadati; Planctomycetota; Planctomycetia; Planctomycetales; Planctomycetaceae.
GCCGGAGUGGCGGAAUGGCAGACGCGACGGAUUCAAAAUCCGUUGUCCCCAAAGGACGUGUGGGUUCGACUCCCACCUUCGGCA